UACGUAGGGACCAAGCGUUGUUCGGAUUUACUGGGCGUAAAGGGCGCGUAGGCGGCGCGGUAAGUCACUUGUGAAAUCUCUGAGCUUAACUCAGAACGGCCAAGUGAUACUGCAGUGCUAGAGUGUGGAAGGGGCAAUCGGAAUUCUUGGUGUAGCGGUGAAAUGCGUAGAUAUCCAGAGGAACACCUGAGGUGAAGACGGGUUGCUGGGCCAACACUGACGCUGAUGCGCGAAAGCCAGGGGAGCAAACGGG
RNAcentral lists this ribosomal RNA (253 nucleotides) under uncultured bacterium. RNAcentral describes it as "partial 16S ribosomal RNA". It matches the Rfam family "Bacterial small subunit ribosomal RNA", at positions 524 to 776 of the family's 1533-position model. The record is from RNAcentral.